RNAcentral lists this ribosomal RNA (255 nucleotides) under uncultured bacterium. RNAcentral's name for it is "partial 16S ribosomal RNA". It matches the Rfam family "Bacterial small subunit ribosomal RNA", at positions 103 to 354 of the family's 1533-position model. The record is from RNAcentral.
CGGGUGAGUAACACGUAUGGAACCUGCCCUAUGCAGGGGGAUAAGCGGAAGAAAUUCCGUCUAAUACCGCAUAACACCAUUUGGAGACAUCUCCAGGGGGUCAAAGGAGGCGACUCCGGCAUAGGAUGGCCAUGCGUCGCAUUAGCUAGUCGGCGGGGUAACGGCCCACCGAGGCGACGAUGCGUAGGGGUUCUGAGAGGAAGGUCCCCCACACUGGUACUGAGACACGGACCAGACUCAUACGGGAGGCAGCAG